This 433-nucleotide ribosomal RNA is filed under the name uncultured bacterium. RNAcentral describes it as "partial 16S ribosomal RNA". It matches the Rfam family "Bacterial small subunit ribosomal RNA", at positions 29 to 507 of the family's 1533-position model. The record is from RNAcentral.
AACGAACGCUGGCGGCAUGCCUAACACAUGCAAGUCGAACGAGACCUUCAGGUCUAGUGGCGCACGGGUGCGUAACGCGUUGGAACCUGCCCUUAGGUUCGGAAUAACUCCCCGAAAGGGGUGCUAAUACCGGAUAAUGUCUUCGGACCAAAGAUUUAUCGCCUUUGGAUGGGCCCGCGUUGGAUUAGCUAGUUGGUAGGGUAAAAGCCUACCAAUGCGACGAUCCAUAGCUGGUUUGAGAGGAUGAUCAGCCACACUGGGACUGAGACACGGCCCAGACUCCUACGGGAGGCAGCAGUGGGGAAUAUUGGAAAAUGGGCGAAAGGCUGAUCCAGCAAUGCCGCGUGAGUGAUGAAGGCCUUAGGGUUGUAAAGCUCUUUUACCCGGGAUGAUAAUGACAGUACCGGGAGAAUAAGCUCCGGCUAACUCCGUG